ACUUUACAAACCCACAAAAUCUUUGUCACUCAACUUUGAAAUGGCAGCAACAACAUCUUCAAACCUCCUUCAUUUCUCUAGUUCCCACUCCAUUUCACGUCUUACACCCCUCAAAACCACCCUGUUUUCAUGUUCCAAGAGACGGUUAUCGGCCACGGCAGUCAAUGGUGCCUCCACCACAGGAGGAUUAGUACGAUGCAUGGCGGUAGCAUCAGAAGCGGAAUCCGUUAAGAAGACAAGUUCUUAUCAGAUAAUGACAUUAACAAACUGGCUGCUGAAACAAGAGCAAUCUGGGGUCAUUGAUGCUGAACUGACUAUUGUCAUGUCUAGCAUUUCAAUGGCAUGUAAGCAGAUUGCAUCAUUGGUGCAACGGGCCAGUAUCUCGAACCUCACCGGGGUCCAGGGAGCUGUAAAUAUUCAGGGUGAGGACCAGAAGAAGCUUGAUGUUAUCUCCAAUGAGGUGUUUUCGAAUUGUUUGAGAUCGAGCGGAAGAACAGGAAUCAUUGCAUCGGAGGAGGAGGAUGUGCCAGUGGCAGUAGAAGAGAGUUACUCUGGCAACUACAUUGUGGUGUUUGAUCCUCUUGAUGGAUCAUCCAACAUUGAUGCUGCUGUUUCAACUGGUUCUAUUUUCGGUAUCUACAGCCCCAACGAUGAGUGUCUUGCUGAUAUCGACUUUGAAUCUACGCUCAGCAGCGAAGAACAAAGGUGUAUUAUUAACGUAUGCCAACCUGGGAACAACCUCCUAGCAGCUGGUUAUUGUAUGUACUCAAGCUCCGUGAUCUUUGUAUUGUCAAUAGGAACAGGGGUUUAUUCAUUCACAUUAGACCCAAUGUACGGUGAGUUUGUACUAACUCAAGAAAAGAUCCAAAUUCCCAAAUCCGGAAAGAUUUACUCAUUCAAUGAAGGAAACUAUGCGCUAUGGGAUGAUAAACUCAAGAAAUACAUGGAUAGCCUAAAGGACCCAGGUCCUUCUGGCAAGCCUUAUUCGGCUAGGUAUAUUGGUAGUUUGGUUGGUGAUUUCCAUAGAACCCUUUUGUAUGGAGGGAUUUACGGGUACCCUAGAGAUGCAAAGAGCAAGAAUGGAAAGCUUAGGCUCUUGUAUGAGUGUGCACCAAUGAGUUACUUGGUUGAACAAGCCGGUGGAAAGGGGUCUGAUGGGCAUCAACGAGUACUUGACAUCCAGCCAACCGAGAUUCAUCAACGAGUUCCUCUGUAUAUUGGAAGCGUAGAGGAAGUGGAAAAAUUGGAGAAAUAUUUGGCUUAAAUAACGAUGUUUUGUUCAUAUAUGUGAAUUUUGUUAGUAAAACAAACUUGAAAAGGUACUGAGGUCGAAUCAAGUUACAAACGUUUGAAGUCGAGUAUGUUGGCAGCCACAUGAAUAACCUAUUCAGAUAGCUAGCUAAAGUUGUAAAGGAGUGAUCAGUUCUUGAUGUAUCAGACUAUUUACAGAAUUUGAUAUAGAUUGGUCAGUGUACUCUGAGUCAAAAACAACUUAUAUAUCAAGAAUACCCGGUUAUAUCA
This is an RNA transcript of Erigeron canadensis, 1521 nucleotides long. It is a transcript of the gene named fructose-1,6-bisphosphatase 1, chloroplastic, with no coding region annotated. Lineage: Eukaryota; Viridiplantae; Streptophyta; Magnoliopsida; Asterales; Asteraceae. The transcript is spliced from 5 exons. The record is from RefSeq and is a predicted model, not a curated record.